CUACGGGCGGCAGCAGUGGGGAAUAUUGGACAAUGGGGGAAACCCUAAUCCAGCAAUGCCGCGUGUGUGAAGAAGGCCUGCGGGUUGUAAAGCACUUUCGGUUGGGAGGACUGCUUCUAGCACUAAUAUUGUUGGAAGUUGACGUUACCUUCAGAAGAAGCACCGGCUAACUCCGUGCCAGCAGCCGCGGUAAUACGGAGGGUGCAAGCGUGUAAUCGGAAUUACUGGGCGUAAAGCGCGCGUAGGCGGCUAGAUCAGUCGGGUGUGAAAGCCCCGGGCUUAACCUGGGAACUGCAUCCGAUACUGUCUAGCUUGAGUACAGGAGAGGAGAGUGGAAUUCCACAUGUAGCGGUGAAAUGCGUAGAUAUGUGGAGGAACACCAAUGGCGAAGGCAGCUCUCUGGCCUGAUACUGACGCUGAGGUGCGAAAGCGUGGGGAGCGAACGGGAUUAGAUACCCGAGUAGUC
This 466-nucleotide ribosomal RNA is filed under the name uncultured bacterium. RNAcentral describes it as "partial 16S ribosomal RNA". It matches the Rfam family "Bacterial small subunit ribosomal RNA", at positions 339 to 795 of the family's 1533-position model. The record is from RNAcentral.